RNAcentral lists this transfer RNA (73 nucleotides) under Bos taurus (domestic cattle). It matches the Rfam family "tRNA". From Rfam's summary of the family: Transfer RNA (tRNA) molecules are approximately 80 nucleotides in length. Their secondary structure includes four short double-helical elements and three loops (D, anti-codon, and T loops). Lineage: Eukaryota; Metazoa; Chordata; Mammalia; Artiodactyla; Bovidae. The record is from Rfam by way of RNAcentral. RNAcentral also lists the same sequence under 4 other names.
UUCCCGGUGGUCUGGUGGUAAGGACUCUGCACUUUCAAUGCAGGGGCCAUGGGUUUGAUCCCUGGUUGAGGAA